UUUCGAAUCAUUCACAAUGGGCGAAAGCCUGAUGGUGCGACGCCGCGUGAGGGAUGAAGGCCUUCGGGUUGUAAACCUCUGUCACCGGGGAAGAAACGCUUCAAGUUAACAGCUUGAAGCCUGACUUAACCCGGAGAGGAAGCAGUGGCUAACUCUGUGCCAGCAGCCGCGGUAAUACAGAGACUGCAAGCGUUAUUCGGAUUCACUGGGCGUAAAGGGUGCGCAGGCGGUUGGGUGUGUCAGAUGUGAAAUCCCGAGGCUUAACCUCGGAACUGCGUCUGAAACUACUCGACUAGAGUACUGGAGAGGGUAACGGAAUUCACGGUGUAGCAGUGAAAUGCGUAGAUAUCGUGAGGAACACCAGAGGCGAAGGCGGUUACCUGGACAGUUACUGACGCUCAGGCACGAAAGCAUGGGGAGCAAAAGGGAUUAGAUACCCACGUAGUCCCUGAGCGGGCUGGCAAGGCGCAU
Molecule: ribosomal RNA, 471 nt
Filed under: uncultured bacterium
Lineage: Bacteria
Description: bacterial SSU rRNA
Rfam family: Bacterial small subunit ribosomal RNA
Source: RNAcentral